GAUGAACGCUGGCGGCGUGCCUAAUACAUGCAAGUCGAGCGAACGGACGAGAAGCUUGCUUCUCUGAUGUUAGCGGCGGACGGGUGAGUAACACGUGGAUAACCUACCUAUAAGACUGGGAUAACUUCGGGAAACCGUAGCUAAUACCGGAUAAUAUUUUGAACCGCAUGGUUCAAAAGUGAAAGACGGUCUUGCUGUCACUUAUAGAUGGAUCCGCGCUGCAUUAGCUAGUUGGUAAGGUAACGGCUUACCAAGGCAACGAUGCAUAGCCGACCUGAGAGGGUGAUCGGCCACACUGGAACUGAGACACGGUCCAGACUCCUACGGGAGGCAGCAGUAGGGAAUCUUCCGCAAUGGGCGAAAGCCUGACGGAGCAACGCCGCGUGAGUGAUGAAGGUCUUCGGAUCGUAAAACUCUGUUAUUAGGGAAGAACAUAUGUGUAAGUAACUGUGCACAUCUUGACGGUACCUAAUCAGAAAGCCACGGCUAACUACGUGCCAGCAGCCGCGGUAAUACGUAGGUGGCAAGCGUUAUCCGGAAUUAUUGGGCGUAAAGCGCGCGUAGGCGGUUUUUUAAGUCUGAUGUGAAAGCCCACGGCUCAACCGUGGAGGGUCAUUGGAAACUGGAAAACUUGAGUGCAGAAGAGGAAAGUGGAAUUCCAUGUGUAGCGGUGAAAUGCGCAGAGAUAUGGAGGAACACCAGUGGCGAAGGCGACUUUCUGGUCUGUAACUGACGCUGAUGUGCGAAAGCGUGGGAAUCAAACAGGAUUAGAUACCCUGGUAGUCCACGCCGUAAACGAUGAGUGCUAAGUGUUAGGGGGUUUCCGCCCCUUAGUGCUGCAGCUAACGCAUUAAGCACUCCGCCUGGGGAGUACGACCGCAAGGUUGAAACUCAAAGGAAUUGACGGGGACCCGCACAAGCGGUGGAGCAUGUGGUUUAAUUCGAAGCAACGCGAAGAACCUUACCAAAUCUUGACAUCCUUUGACAACUCUAGAGAUAGAGCCUUCCCCUUCGGGGGACAAAGUGACAGGUGGUGCAUGGUUGUCGUCAGCUCGUGUCGUGAGAUGUUGGGUUAAGUCCCGCAACGAGCGCAACCCUUAAGCUUAGUUGCCAUCAUUAAGUUGGGCACUCUAAGUUGACUGCCGGUGACAAACCGGAGGAAGGUGGGGAUGACGUCAAAUCAUCAUGCCCCUUAUGAUUUGGGCUACACACGUGCUACAAUGGACAAUACAAAGGGCAGCGAAACCGCGAGGUCAAGCAAAUCCCAUAAAGUUGUUCUCAGUUCGGAUUGUAGUCUGCAACUCGACUACAUGAAGCUGGAAUCGCUAGUAAUCGUAGAUCAGCAUGCUACGGUGAAUACGUUCCCGGGUCU
This 1372-nucleotide ribosomal RNA is filed under the name uncultured bacterium. RNAcentral's name for it is "bacterial SSU rRNA". It matches the Rfam family "Bacterial small subunit ribosomal RNA", at positions 28 to 1381 of the family's 1533-position model. The record is from RNAcentral.